GACAGGUUAGUUUUACCCUACUGUCGUCGUAGGUCGUGAUUAGAGUAGUGUUUUAAAGUACGAGAGGAACGAAAACGCAGCGUUUCUGGCAAUGCCGUUGGUUGAUCAGCCAGUGCGGCGACGCUACGCGCUUGGGAUAAUAGCUGAACGCCUCUAAGCUAGAAUCCAUGCUCGAAGUUAUCACGAUGGAGGCUUGCUCUGCAAGCUGUGGGAUUGGCACUUUGUCGUCAGCUCAAAGCUGCGUAACGAUACUUUGGAAGGAUUGUGUAGUCGAGUAAGCUUUGCUUAGCCGGCCUAUACUCAUCUCCAUAGCAAAACCACAUGUCGGUCAGCUGUGCUGAGUCAGAAAUGAUUCUCUCACAAUGCAUCCGUCAAUCAUAAUGUGAACUCAAAUUGCCUUUCUUGGCCACUUUCUAGACGAGUUAGUGCAGAGGGGCUCAUGUAAGGUCUGGAGUGUCCUUGUUGAUGCGACGAUCUGAGUGUCAUGCCUCAUCU
RNAcentral lists this ribosomal RNA (495 nucleotides) under Symbiodinium sp. clade D. RNAcentral describes it as "partial Eukaryotic large subunit ribosomal RNA". It matches the Rfam family "Eukaryotic large subunit ribosomal RNA", at positions 2977 to 3390 of the family's 3401-position model. The record is from RNAcentral. Lineage: Eukaryota; Dinophyceae; Suessiales; Symbiodiniaceae.